Acanthosepion pharaonis is the source of this 95-nucleotide non-coding RNA. The record is from the annotation of a GenBank genome assembly. Lineage: Eukaryota; Metazoa; Mollusca; Cephalopoda; Sepiida; Sepiidae.
GAAAGACCCAUUCCCGUACGAUCAGCGAAGUUAAGCAAUAUCUAUCCCGGUGAGUAUUUAGAUGGGUGACCACUUGGAAAUACCAGGUGCUGUAA